AUUGACUCAAGAGAUCCUGGGUAUUAGAAUUCUAAACAGAACACACACGCUGUGAUAUCAAUUGCAGGCGGUUGAUGUUAAAUAUCUUCCAUUUUAUAUGACGUAGUGGAGGGGAACAUCUUUUUCGAGUUUCAAACUAAUAAAGACAAGCCCUCUUUGACCUGCUUCUAAAAGUUAUUUAGUUUCUUUAUCAUUGCCUAAGCGAGUUAUGUUUUGCAUCUUCUUUGCGUCUAUAUUUAUGAGGAUAUGUGCACCUAAGUAGCGUCAUGGCAGAAAUCUACUUUUGCCACCCUGUUAAAGAGAUCUUUCUUGUCCACCCAGUAUGUUAAAUCUGUUUAAAAAGAAUAUUUUCCAAGAUCAUACAUUUUCUCUUCUGAGUCUAAGCUUUGCACUAGUUUGCUAAUUUAGUUAUUAAAGCAAGGAAAACAUAAGACGGUAGAUCUGAAGUUCAUGACACAUUAUCACACUGAAGAUUUGGAUUUGGACAAAGAUAUAAGAUAUAAGCUGAUUUAUGGCUGCAAUUGAAGUGAUAGAUGGAACUAGCUUGGGAUUGAUGGGAUUGAGGCGCAGUUGUUGAUGUUGUCAUGUUAAAGUGGCAGAUGGUUUGGGCAAAAGUAGAUCACAGAUAAGGAUGUAAAAGUGGACUAGUUCUCAAGCAUAACUCCACAAGGUUAAGAUUGUAAAGUGCUUCAUGCAGCAUAUCUCUGUAGAAAUCUCUUUUAAUCAAGUGGCAGGACUCUGUUCUUUGAGCUUCCUUGAACAGGUCAACCAUUACAUUGGGAGAGGCCAUCUUUUUAACCACAACAUUAUCUUGAUCAAAGCAUAGUGCUACUAUGAGGGUAGGAUUCUUGGUGCUCAGUUCGGAUUGAUCUCAACUUAUGCAUUAGAGAUACUAGUCUUGCAUAUAGUUAAUCGGUUUCAUUCAUCUACAGAUGAUCCUUUGGCGGUGAAGAUUGUAAGGUGCUUCGUGCAGCAUAUCUCUGUAGACAUCUCUUUUAAUCAAGUGGCACGACUCUGUUCUUUGAGCUUCCUUUAACAGGUCAACCAUUAUAUUGGGAGAGGCCAUAUUUUUAACCACAACAUUAUCUUGACCAAAGCCCGGUGCUACUAUGAGAGUAGGAUUCUUGGUGCUCAAUCCAGAUUGAUCUCAACUUAUGCAUUAGAGAUACUAGUCUUGCAUAUAUUUAAUCGAUUUCAUUCAUCUGUAGAUGGUCCUUUGGCGGUCUUGCAUUGGUUCUUGGACUACUAUCAUACAUUUGAUUGGGAAAACUAUGGCAUCAGUAUAUAUGGUCCAUUUACGAUUAAGUGCCUAGAAGAUAUUGUUAGUGAGUUAAAAAAGCAACUACUAUACACGCACGUUGCACAUGAUAGUCACGGAUAACAUAAAGUAAAUGUUUCAUUAUUUUUUCUAAAAGUAUGUACCGAUAAAUUAGUACUAGAAAUACUGAAAGAAAUCUUUUGAAGUCUUCAUAUUAUACAGUUUGUUUGUUCACUCUUUAUUAUAUUAUUUAUAACGAAGUAAAAUAUUAAAGCGCAUAGUUUUAUUUUUUAUCAUAAGAAAAAUGAUGUUUCGGUUUUUAGGCUUUUUUAAUUUCUACCCCAACAUUUGCAAUUUGUUUUCUCCUAAUUGAAAUUUUAAAGUAGGUACAAAUAAGUUUGUGAUAGAGAAUUAAGCAUUUUAGCUGUGCUCUUUUCAUGAUCCACUUAGUUUCUUUUUUUGGUAACCGUGAUGAGCAUACUUUCUUGUAUGUAUAUUGGUCAACAUUUCUUGUCUAAAUGUUAUUACUAUUUUUGUGUUUCUUCUAAUUAGUUUCUCUUAAGUGUGAGUUAAUUGUUUGUGUACCUCUUGAUAAAGCUAUUCCACGAACUUUCUAGAGUAAUGACAAUAGAUAUCUUCUUGAUAUCUAUUGUAAAGUGCAUAGUUGAUUAUCUAUUUUUUUAUUUUGUAUUGUCAGGUGAAGAUUGCAAAGUGCUUCGUGCAACAUAUCUCUGUAGACAUCUCCUUUAAUCAAGUGGCAGGACACUGUUCUUUGAGCUUCCUUGAACAGAUUUAAAUCUAUUGCAAGUUUUCUAACAAAAUCCCAAUGCUGUCAUCCGUGUAGCGUCUAUUGAAUAAACACCAAGUCAUAUUCUUGGUGAUUUUUAAUCACUGUUCUUGUGAUGCUAAGUCACUUCAUGUCCUUUUUUCUUUCUCUAUCGCUUUCAAACCACUAAUGAAAAAGAGGAGGGCAAGGAAGACACCUUCGGAUUACGAGUUGCCCAUUGCUGUUUUGCCUAUAUCCCUCUUGUUCCUAAACCCACUUCUAUUGAGCUUUUAUUCAACUAAAAGCUCUGUUGCACUAAAUUUUUGUUUUUGGCCUGAUAUUUCACCCUCUGAUGCAAAUUUUAUAGGUCAACCAUUACAUUGGGAGAGGCCAUCUUUUUAACCACAACAUUAUCUUCAUCAAAGCCUGGGCUACUAUGAGGGUAUGAUUCUUGGUGCUCAGUCCGGAUUGAUCUCAACUUAUGCAUUAGGGAUACUAGUCUUGCAUAUAGAUAAUCGGUUUCAUUUAUCUGUAGACGGUCCUUUGGCGGUGAGUCUGUAAGUUAGUAUUUGUUAUUUUAACAUAAAUAUAUAAUAACCAAAUGUGAUUUGUGAAUUUGUAGGUCUUGUAUAAGUUCUUGGACUACUAUCAUAUAUUUGAUUAGAAAAACUAUGGCAUCAGUAUAUAUGGUCCAUUUGCGAUUAAGUACCUACAAGAUAUUGUUGGUGAGUUAAAAAAGCAACUACUAUGCACGAACGUUGCACAUGAUAGUCACGGAUAACAUAAAGUAAAUGUUCUAUUAUUUGUUCUAAAAGUAUAUAACGAUAAAUUAGUUAUAGAAAUACUGAAAGAAAUCUUUUAUAGUCUUCUUAUUAUAGAGUUUGUUUGUUUACUCUUUAUUAUAUUAUUUAUAACGAAAUAAAAUGUUAAAGCGCAUAGUUUUAUUUUUGAUCAUAAGAAAAAUGAUGUCUUAGUUUCCAGGCUUUUUUUGAAUUCUAUCCCAACAUUUGCAAUUUUUUUUAUCCUAAUUGAAAUUUUAAAGCAGGUACAAAUAAAUUUGUGAUAGAGAACUAAGCAUUUUAUCUGUACUCUUUUCAUGAUCCAUUUAGUUUCUUUUUUUUGGUAACCGUGAGCCACUUACAUUCUUGUCUUUAUAUUGGUCAACAUUUCUCGUUUGAAUGUCAUUACUAUUUUUGCGGUUCUUCUAAUUAGUUUCUCUUAGGGUGGGAGUUAAUUGUUUGUGUUCCUCUUGAUAUAGCUAUUCCAUGAACUUUCUAGUGUAAUGACAAUAGAUAUCUAUUCUUGAUAUCUUUUGUAAAGUGCAUAGUUGAUUAUCUAUUCUUUUGAUUUUGUGUUGUCAGGUGAAGAUUGUAAAGUGCUUCGUGCAUCAUAUCUCUGUAGACAUCUCCUUUAAUGAAGUGGCAGUACUCUGUUUUUUGAGCUUCCUUCAGUAGUUUUGAAUCUAUUGCUGUUUUGCUAACAAAAUCCCAAUGCUGUCAGCUUUGUAACGUCAGUUGAAUUAACACCAAGUCAUAUUCCUGAUCAUUGUUCUUGUGAUGCUAAGUCACUUCACAUCCUUUUUUAUUUCUCUAUCCCUUUCAAACCACCAGUGAAAAGAGGAGGGCAGGGAAGAAACCUUCGGAUUACGAGCUGCCCAUUGCUUUUUUGCCUAUAUCCCUCUUGUUCCUAAACCCACUUCUAUUGAGCUUUUAUUCAACUAAAAGCUCUGAUGCAGUUAAUUUUUGUAUUUUUUCUUGUAUUUCACCCUCUGUUGCAAAUUCUACCGGUCAACCAUUACAUUGGGAGAAGCCAUCUUUUUUAACACAAUAUUAUCUAGUAGGUUUGAUUCUUGGUGCUCAGUCCGGAUUGAUCUCAACUUAUACAUUAGAAAUAUUCACAUAUAAUUGAUCAGUUUCAUUCAUCUGUAGAUGGACCUUUGGCGGUCUUGUAUAAGUUCUUGGACUACUACCAUACAUUUGAUUGGGAAAACUAUGGCAUCAGUAUAUAUGGUCCAUUUGCGAAUAAGUGCCUAUAAGAUAUUGUUGGUCAACCAUUACAUUGGGAGAAGCUUUCUUUUUUAGCACAACAUUAUUUUGUAGGUCUUGUAUAGGUUCUUGGACUACUAUCAAUCAUUUGAUUGGGAAAACUAUGGCAUCAGUAUUUAUGGUCCAUUUGCGAAUAAGUGCCUACAAGAUAUUGUUGGUGAAGAUUGUAAAGUGCUUCGUGCAGCAUAUCUCUGUAGACAUCUUCUUUAAUGAUGUGACAGGUCUCUGUUCUUUGAGUUCCUUGAACAGAUCAAUCAUUACAUUGGGAGAAGCCAUCUUAUUAAGCACAACAUUAUCUUGAUCAAAGUCUGGUGCUGCUAUGAGGGUGAAGAUUGUAAAUUGCUUCGUGCAACAUAUCUCUGUAGACAUCUCCUUUAAUGAAGUGACAGUACUCUGUUCUUUGAGCUUUCUUAAACAGGUUCUUGGACUACUAUCAUACAUUUGAUUGGGAAAACUAUGACAUCAGUAUAUAUGGUCCAUUUGCGAUUAAGUGUCUUCAAGAUAUUGUUGUCAAGGAUAAAAUGCCUGAAACCACCGAGAUCAGUCCUGCUAUCACCACAACCGGUGAUUAGCAAAAUGUCCAAGCACCUUACCAGUUGAAUGGACAAAAUUUUCUGAAAUGGUCACAGUUCGUUCGGACAUUCUUGAAAGGCAAAGGAAAGUUAAGUCAUCUGUUGGGUACGGGCCCGUCUAAGGAAGAUCCCAAGUUUGAAGCCUGGGAUGAGCAAGACUCAAUGGUCAUGUCUUGGCUCUGGAAUUCAAUGAUUCUAGAAAUAAGUGAUACAGUGAUGUUUCUGAGUACGGCUAAGGAGAUAUGGAAAGCAAUCCAACAAACCAUACUCAAAGGGGCUGUGGCAAGAGAUUAAUCACUACCAAAUUGCAAAGAUGGCAUUUGUGGAGGGGGAGGAGUGAUUAGGAACAAUGAUGGCCACCUAAUUUGCGCAUACAUCCUCCUUUUGGGGCCUGGAACGAGUAACUGGGCAGAAGCACAAGCUCUGUUAUUUGGUAUUAAUUAGUGCAUUACUAAAAGGUUGAAUCAUUUUAUAGCUGAAAGUGAUUCAAAAUUGUUAGUAGACUGUGUGAAUGGAUUCUACAAAAGUUCUUGGCGAAUAUCUCAAGAAGUGGAAGAAUUAAGAAGACAUAAAGAACAAAAUGGGUUUGUCUUGACACACUGCGUCAGGGAAGCUAACCAUGCUACUGACAGGAUGGUAGCAUUGAGCUAUAAUCUCUCUCAAAGCAAAUCUUUCACAACUUUACAUCCCUUCAAAGUCACAUUAGAGGGAUCCUUAAUGUUGAUAGAUGGAAUCUGCCUAAUUUUCGUAUAUCAAACAAGAAAAAGACUGGCAUUGUUUAUCAUCCACCGUGAUUGAAAGUAGUGCGUCUGGCGGUAAUCCUUAAACACUUCGUUUUGUAUAAAAAGAUAGAAUUGUCUAUCUUUCAACCUUUUCUUAGGGAGUUUAUAGGUUUUGGCUUCUCCCUCAACCCAAUGUAAUAUGCUGUCGGAGAUGAAUAAAAUGCGUAUUUGUCGCUAAAAAAAACCAAUGCAUUCAGAUGCGAUGCCCAGAAGAUGCAGUAACGUUAAAGCGCUUUAUAGAAAGGGAAUGCGCAUAUGACUUUCUUACUGGACUUAAUGUUGAACUUGAUCCAGUAAGGGUACAAAUAUUGGAAAAAGAGGAACUUUCAUCACUGAAUGAAGCAAUUUCAAUUGUACGGGCUAAAGAAGGGCGUAAGAGUGUUAUGCUUGACACUCAAGCCGGAGAAGGAUCAACAUUUGUUGUAAAGGGGGCUGGGCAAAAGGAAAAUAGCAUGCUACAGCCAUCGGACAAUUCUACCAAGCCAAUAAAUGCUUCAAAACAAUUCAAUAGAGAUUCCUUCUAUUGCACCUACUGUAAUAUCGCCACAUAAGAGAGAUGCUGGAAGCUGAACGGUAAACCACAGAACAAUAACCAUAAGGGCGAGAAAGGAAGACAUGCUUAUGUUGCAAGUACUCACCAACAUGACUAAUUCUGCUAAGUCAAAUCCGGAGAUCAGUCAAGAAGAUAUUAAAAGGCUGAAAGGUUUGCUUAGUUCUUUAGACAAAAGUAAUCCAGCCGAGACAGGUACAUGUUCUCUAACAUUCUCAGGUAUCUCUUCUCUUUGUUGUACUGCUAAUGUCAUGACAAGUAAUUUCUUCCCGUGGAUAGUUUAUUCUAGAGCAACAGACCACAUGACCUCUUCUUCUAAAUACUUUUCGUCCUAUACCCAUUGACUAAGCCAUAGAAAAAUUACCAUUGCUGAUGGUUCUUUCGCUACUGUAGUCGGAUAUGGAGCUGUUCGCUUAAAUUCUCUAUGCCUUAAAAAUGUGCUUCAUGUUCCAAAAUUGUUUGCUAAUCUUAUUUCAAUUCAAAAGGUUCAUGUUCGCUUUAAUUGCCAAGUAAUUUUUCUCCCUUCCUAUUGUAUUUUCUAGGAACAGGAAACCAAGAAGAUGAUUGGGCUUGCUAAAGUCAGAAACGGGCUCUAUUACUUGAAAAACCUGAACCUAAAGAAUGAAGCUUUGAAUUCUCUCCCUCGCUCCUUCAUAUUUGAGUCAGUCAUAUUUAGUGAAUAAAUAAUUUGGCUUUAUCAUCAUCGUUUGGGUCAUCCUUCUUUUCAAAUUGUCAAGAUUAUGUUCCCUCUAUUUUUUAAGGGUUUAACAAUAGUGUUUUCAUUGCAAUGAUUGUGAACUAGCCAAACAUAGGCGUGUUUCUUUUUCUGUCAAUAAUACAAGAACUAUGUUUC
Nicotiana tabacum (common tobacco) is the source of this 6826-nucleotide non-coding RNA. The record is from RefSeq and is a predicted model, not a curated record. Lineage: Eukaryota; Viridiplantae; Streptophyta; Magnoliopsida; Solanales; Solanaceae.